UGAAGUGGUUAGAAUGUGUAGUGUAGCGGUGAAAUGCAUAGAUAUUACANAGAAUACCAAUUGCGAAGGCAGAUCACUAAUAAUGUANUGACACUGAUGGACGAAAGCGUGGGUAGCGAACAGGAUUAGAUACCCUGGUAGUCCACGCCGUAAACGAUGGUUACUAGCUGUUCGNACUUCGGAUUGAGUGGCUAAGCGAAAGUGAUAAGUAACCCACCUGGGGAGUACGUUCGCAAGAAUGAAACUCAAAGGAAUUGACGGGGGCCCGCACAAGCGGUGGAGCAUGUGGUUUAAUUCGAUGAUACGCGAGGAACCUUACCAGGGCUUAAAUGUAGAGUGACAGGUAUAGAAAUAUAUUUUUCUUCGGACUCUUUACAAGGUGCUGCAUGGUUGUCGUCAGCUCGUGCCGUGAGGUGUCAGGUUAAGUCCUAUAACGAGCGCAACCCCUGUUGUUAGUUGCCAGCGAGUAAUGUCGGGA
RNAcentral lists this ribosomal RNA (478 nucleotides) under uncultured Bacteroidota bacterium. RNAcentral describes it as "bacterial SSU rRNA". It matches the Rfam family "Bacterial small subunit ribosomal RNA", at positions 653 to 1136 of the family's 1533-position model. Lineage: Bacteria; Pseudomonadati; Bacteroidota. The record is from RNAcentral.